CUACGGGGGGCUGCAGUGAGGAAUAUUGCACAAUGGGGGGAACCCUGAUGCAGCAACGCCGCGUGGAGGAUGACGCAUUUCGGUGUGUAAACUCCUUUUAUAUGUCAAGAAAAUGACGGUAGCAUAUGAAUAAGCACCGGCUAACUCCGUGCCAGCAGCCGCGGUAGUACGGAGGGUGCAAGCGUUACUCGGAAUCACUGGGCGUAAAGGACGCGUAGGCGGGUUGGAAAGUCAGGUGUGAAAUCCUACAGAUUAACUGUAGAACUGAACUUGAAACUUGUAAUCUAGAGUAUGGGAGGGGGAGAUGGAAUUAGUGGUGUAGGGGUAAAAUCCGUAGAUAUCACUAGGAAUACCUAAAGCGAAGGCGAUCUCCUGGAACAUUACUGACGCUAAGGCGUGAAAGCGUGGGGAGCAAACAGGAUUAGAUACCCCUGUAGUC
Molecule: ribosomal RNA, 439 nt
Filed under: uncultured bacterium
Lineage: Bacteria
Description: partial 16S ribosomal RNA
Rfam family: Bacterial small subunit ribosomal RNA
Source: RNAcentral